GUAACGAGCGCAACCCUGUCCUUAGUUACCAGCACGUUAUGGUGGGCACUCUAAGGAGACUGCCGGUGACAACCGGAAGAAGUGGGGAUGACGUCAAGUCAUCAUGGCCCUUACGGCCUGGGCUACACACGUGCUACAAUGGUCGGUACAAAGGGUUGCCAAGCCGCGAGGUGGAGCUAAUCCCAUAAAACCGAUCGUAGUCCGGAUCGCAGUCUGCAACUCGACUGCGUGAAGUCGGAAUCGCUAGUAAUCGUGAAUCAGAAUGUCACGGUGAAUACGUUCCCGGGCCUU
RNAcentral lists this ribosomal RNA (291 nucleotides) under uncultured Pseudomonas sp. Its description in RNAcentral is "partial 16S ribosomal RNA". It matches the Rfam family "Bacterial small subunit ribosomal RNA", at positions 1089 to 1382 of the family's 1533-position model. The record is from RNAcentral. Lineage: Bacteria; Pseudomonadati; Pseudomonadota; Gammaproteobacteria; Pseudomonadales; Pseudomonadaceae.